RNAcentral lists this long non-coding RNA (239 nucleotides) under Carica papaya (papaya). Its description in RNAcentral is "long non-coding RNA (CPAP_LNC010402)". The record is from RNAcentral. Lineage: Eukaryota; Viridiplantae; Streptophyta; Magnoliopsida; Brassicales; Caricaceae.
GAUAUUAAGUUCACGCGUAGGGGGGACAUCCCUAUGAACCCUAAAAGGUACUAGUAAAUGGGUAAAAAUAAAAGUUGUUGUUCUUGCUAACUUGUAUAUGAAAUCAUAAUAUUAUUUGAGUUAUUAUCCUUAUAGGUCGAUUUUGAAAACUCGUAAUGGUAAGUAUGGAAUAAACAGUUUUAUGCUAAAUGAAUUUAUUUAAGAAAGCAAAUGGCUUCAUUAGUUGUUUUAUAAUUUUU